AUGCUCGAAGUCUUGCUGUUAUGUUUCGUUAGUUAGGACGUAUCAUAACAAUCUCAAUUUGAAAUAUAACUUUGGACUACAUAAACGUGUAACUUUAUUUAGAAAUUGACAUUAUUUCUUGAUUUAG
Molecule: long non-coding RNA, 127 nt
Organism: Ipomoea nil (Japanese morning glory)
Lineage: Eukaryota; Viridiplantae; Streptophyta; Magnoliopsida; Solanales; Convolvulaceae
Exons: 2
Source: RefSeq, a predicted model, not a curated record